AGAGUUUGAUCCUGGCUCAGAUUGAACGCUGGCGGCAUGCUUUACACAUGCAAGUCGAACGGCAGCACGGGCUUCGGCCUGGUGGCGAGUGGCGAACGGGUGAGUAAUGCGUCGGAACGCGCCGAGUAGUGGGGGAUAACGCAGCGAAAGCUGUGCUAAUACCGCAUACAUACUGAGGUAGAAAGUGGGGGACCUUCGGGCCUCACGCUAUUCGAGCGGCCGACGUCUGAUUAGCUAGUUGGUGGGGUAAAGGCUCACCAAGGCGACGAUCAGUAGCGGGUCUGAGAGGAUGAUCCGCCACACUGGGACUGAGACACGGCCCAGACUCCUACGGGAGGCAGCAGUGGGGAAUUUUGGACAAUGGGCGCAAGCCUGAUCCAGCCAUGCCGCGUGUCUGAAGAAGGCCUU
RNAcentral lists this ribosomal RNA (408 nucleotides) under uncultured bacterium. Its description in RNAcentral is "bacterial SSU rRNA". It matches the Rfam family "Bacterial small subunit ribosomal RNA", at positions 8 to 418 of the family's 1533-position model. The record is from RNAcentral.